This 300-nucleotide unclassified non-coding RNA is filed under the name Glomus sp. RNAcentral describes it as "partial contains 5.8S ribosomal RNA, internal transcribed spacer 2, and large subunit ribosomal RNA". The stretch from base 1 to 71 matches the Rfam family "5.8S ribosomal RNA", at positions 84 to 154 of the family's 154-position model. Lineage: Eukaryota; Fungi; Glomeromycota; Glomeromycetes; Glomerales; Glomeraceae. The record is from RNAcentral.
GUGAAUCAUCGAAUUUUUGAACGCAAAUUGCACUUUCUGGUAUUCCGGAAAGUAUGCCUGUUUGAGGGUCAGUUAAAUAAAAAUCGGUGUGAUUUCUGGUAAUGGUGAUGCAUCGGGAUUGAGUCGUCUUUACCUGUUUGUUUAAGUGACUUAAAAUUAUGUACGAUUUUUGAACGUAUUUAAAUUAUUUACUUACGUUCGUGAUAUCGCAUGUUAGGUGCGGUCAUCCACAUGAUUUCGCGUCUAUAAUUUUUUCAUUAUUUGACCUCAAAUCAGUUAAUAAUACGCGCUUAGCUUAAG